Molecule: long non-coding RNA, 1417 nt
Organism: Cucumis melo (muskmelon)
Lineage: Eukaryota; Viridiplantae; Streptophyta; Magnoliopsida; Cucurbitales; Cucurbitaceae
Exons: 2
Source: RefSeq, a predicted model, not a curated record
AUUCGCUUCUCUUCUACUAUUGCAUGUGAAACAUGUUAUCUCAUUGCAGAGUCUGUUUGGGUCUUGAGAUCCACAACUUUGUUCUGGCGGUUGAAUCGAGUUUGCCGUUUCACCUGGAGAUUCAUAGAAAUUUUUAAGUUACUGUUGAUGGUUACCGAGAUGGAAAAGGGGAAAGGGAGGCAGAUAAAAGGGAACAGAGAAUUAUUGGUUCAUAGAACAGAUUGACUGCUGCUUACCGGGAGUCCAUAUCGCAAGAAGAUACGGGCUUGGAUCAUCAGGUUCUCGUCUAUCCAUCUGUAUGUUUAAAUGAGUAAAUGUUACAAUUCUAGUGCGUUAUGUGUGCUUGUAUCAAACUAAAAUGAAAAUGUUACCUCUCUCAGGAGAGGAUGUGAAUCUGGAAGCUCAUACCUGCAUUUAGAUAAAUACUUGAGUUAUAGAGUGAAUUACAUUGUCUGUUUAUUUUAUUUUGUUUUUAAAUUUUUUCUUUUAAUGAGAAACCAAGGUUUCAUUGAGAAAAAUGAAAGAAUGAACAAAACAUACUAUUCCAACUAGUGGAGCCCACCAACUACGAGAAGGGACUCCAUUUCAAAAGGAUAGCCUAGUGCAUAACUACGAAAAAGUUGGGAAAUAAAGAACAUGACGAGGUAUUAAAUCUAAUGUUCUCCCAAGUCUCGUCUCAACCCUAUCAAGAUUCUGUUGUUUCUUUCUAACCAAAUACCCAGUAAAAUUGCAAGUCUGCUAGUUUGUUUUAAUUUUAUUUUUUGAUUAAAGUUGUUUUGUUAUAGUGACUUUAUUAUUUCAUUGACUCCUUGGUUUAUACUAAAAAAAAUUGAACAAACGAGACAAGAAACUUACACUUGAUGCUCUGUCCGUAGCCUACUCACAUUCUUCAAUUUUGGCGUUGGGAUAAAGGCAGCUUCUGGGUUCAAGGCAACUAAAGCUUUGGACAUGUCGCCUUCUGGGAUGUAGUUUUGUAAAGUUGUUUUGAACUCUUCCAUGCUGAGUUUGAUGGUAGGAAUUUCAUCAGGAUCCUCAUAAAAAGCAUCUUCAAUGUCACUUUCAGUUAUCUCAUUGGGCUCUGGUUCCGGUGUUGCCGGUACUUCAACUAUUGGCUCACAAUUUCCGGGGGCCAAAGUAUUUUCGGUGUAUGUGCUUCCUUCAGGAGGAAGAAUUGGCAAAGGAUUUGUGACUACAGGUGGCUGCUUCUCUGUGGCCAUGGGAUUGGUUGAAGCCACAAUACCCUUUUCAUCAGGUGCUGGCAGAGCAAGUCGGGCACUGCACUAAAUACAGUUCAUGUUUUAGUUAAGAGUUGAGAAGGCAAGCCUAUAGACACGAGUGGACAAUCUUUAUGAACAGAAUUUCUCGCACUUGAACUUUCAUGCUAUAAAAGUUCCUCUCUUUAUCUUGUUCCCUUUGA